GCAAACUUGGUCAUUUAGAGGAAGUAAAAGUCGUAACAAGGUUUCCGUAGGUGAACCUGCGGAAGGAUCAUUACAGGGUUAUGCCGGAUAUGUUUUCUGCUCUCUUGGGAGUGAAAUCUAUCUCGGCAGCCAUGAUCAUCCCUUUGUGCAUAUAUCGAUAAUUUGAGGGUUUUGGUAGACCUCAAAAAUCUGCCAUAACCCUCCAAUAAACUCUUAACAAAUUUGACUGAGUGAUUGUUUUUUGUUAAUAAAUACAACUUUCAACAACGGAUCUCUUGGCUCUCGCAUCGAUGAAGAACGCAGC
Molecule: unclassified non-coding RNA, 304 nt
Filed under: uncultured fungus
Lineage: Eukaryota; Fungi
Description: partial contains small subunit ribosomal RNA, internal transcribed spacer 1, and 5.8S ribosomal RNA
Rfam family: Eukaryotic small subunit ribosomal RNA (bases 1-73)
Source: RNAcentral